GCUGGCGGCGUGCCUAAUACAUGCAAGUCGAACGAGUUCUCGUUGAUGAUCGGUGCUUGCACCGAGAUUCAACAUGGAACGAGUGGCGGACGGGUGAGUAACACGUGGGUAACCUGCCCUUAAGUGGGGGAUAACAUUUGGAAACAGAUGCUAAUACCGCAUAGAUCCAAGAACCGCAUGGUUCUUGGCUGAAAGAUGGCGUAAGCUAUCGCUUUUGGAUGGACCCGCGGCGUAUUAGCUAGUUGGUGAGGUAAUGGCUCACCAAGGCGAUGAUACGUAGCCGAACUGAGAGGUUGAUCGGCCACAUUGGGACUGAGACACGGCCCAAACUCCUACGGGAGGCAGCAGUAGGGAAUCUUCCACAAUGGACGCAAGUCUGAUGGAGCAACGCCGCGUGAGUGAAGAAGGCUUUCGGGUCGUAAAACUCUGUUGUUGGAGAAGAAUGGUCGGCAGAGUAACUGUUGUCGGCGUGACGGUAUCCAACCAGAAAGCCACGGCUAACUACGUGCCAGCAGCCGCGGUAAUACGUAGGUGGCAAGCGUUAUCCGGAUUUAUUGGGCGUAAAGCGAGCGCAGGCGGUUUUUUAAGUCUGAUGUGAAAGCCCUCGGCUUAMCCGAGGAAGCGCAUCGGAAACUGGGAAACUUGAGUGCAGAAGAGGACAGUGGAACUCCAUGUGUAGCGGUGAAAUGCGUAGAUAUAUGGAAGAACACCCAGUGGCGAAGGCGGCUGUCUGGUCUGUAACUGACGCUGAGGCUCGAAAGCAUGGGUAGCGAACAGGAUUAGAUACCCUGGUAGUCCAUGCCGUAAACGAUGAAUGCUAGGUGUUGGAGGGUUUCCGCCCUUCAGUGCCGCAGCUAACGCAUUAAGCAUUCCGCCUGGGGAGUACGACCGCAAGGUUGAAACUCAAAGGAAUUGACGGGGGCCCGCACAAGCGGUGGAGCAUGUGGUUUAAUUCGAAGCAACGCGAAGAACCUUACCAGGUCUUGACAUCUUUUGAUCACCUGAGAGAUCAGGUUUCCCCUUCGGGGGCAAAAUGACAGGUGGUGCAUGGUUGUCGUCAGCUCGUGUCGUGAGAUGUUGGGUUAAGUCCCGCAACGAGCGCAACCCUUAUGACUAGUUGCCAGCAUUUAGUUGGGCACUCUAGUAAGACUGCCGGUGACAAACCGGAGGAAGGUGGGGAUGACGUCAAAUCAUCAUGCCCCUUAUGACCUGGGCUACACACGUGCUACAAUGGAUGGUACAACGAGUUGCGAGACCGCGAGGUCAAGCUAAUCUCUUAAAGCCAUUCUCAGUUCGGACUGUAGGCUGCAACUCGCCUACACGAAGUCGGAAUCGCUAGUAAUCGCGGAUCAGCACGCCGCGGUGAAUACGUUCCCGGGCCUUGUACACACCGCCCGUCACACCAUGAGAGUUUGUAACACCCGAAGCCGGUGGCGUAACCCUUUUAGGGAGCGAGCCGUCUAAGGUGGGACAAAUGAUU
This 1480-nucleotide ribosomal RNA is filed under the name Lacticaseibacillus casei. RNAcentral's name for it is "Lactobacillus casei 16S ribosomal RNA". It matches the Rfam family "Bacterial small subunit ribosomal RNA". Lineage: Bacteria; Bacillati; Bacillota; Bacilli; Lactobacillales; Lactobacillaceae. The record is from RNAcentral.